AUCAUUUUACCAGACAUAGCCAAUGAAGUUAAUCUGAGGUAUGAUUGUUGCUAAAUGAAAACUUUUCCCAAUACCCCACCAUGACGACUUGAGGUAUAGUCGGCAUUGGCAAUUUUUGGCAGGCUCUACAGGGA
Cebus imitator (Panamanian white-faced capuchin) is the source of this 134-nucleotide small nuclear RNA. Its record names the gene U4. It matches the Rfam family "U4 spliceosomal RNA". Rfam says of the family: U4 small nuclear RNA (U4 snRNA) is a component of the major U2-dependent spliceosome. The structure of U4 snRNA from yeast and human has been reported. U4 snRNA presents a k-turn RNA motif in the 5p-SL related to recognition of Snu13 protein. Lineage: Eukaryota; Metazoa; Chordata; Mammalia; Primates; Cebidae. The record is from Ensembl.